Molecule: ribosomal RNA, 254 nt
Filed under: uncultured Streptomyces sp.
Lineage: Bacteria; Bacillati; Actinomycetota; Actinomycetes; Kitasatosporales; Streptomycetaceae
Description: partial 16S ribosomal RNA
Rfam family: Bacterial small subunit ribosomal RNA
Source: RNAcentral
GGUGAGUUGGCUACCAGGCGACGACGGGUAGCCGGCCUGAGAGGGCGACCGGCCACACUGGGACUGAGACACGGCCCAGACUCCUACGGGAGGCAGCAGUGGGGAAUAUUGCACAAUGGGCGCAAGCCUGAUGCAGCGACGCCGCGUGAGGGAUGACGGCCUUCGGGUUGUAAACCUCUUUUAGCAGGGAAGAAGCGAGAGUGACGGUACCUGCAGAAAAAGCACCGGCUAACUACGUGCCAGAGCCCGCGGCC